AACAAUUUUAUUAUAGUUCUGUAUUAUUUUAAUUAUUCAAUAAUUUUACUUGAUAAUUAUGAAAAUGAAAUUUCAUUAACUUUUAAAUCUUAACAUCUAAUCUAAUUUAAUUAUAAUUAAAUAUCUAAUUUUUCAUAAUUUAAUUAAAUUUGAUUGGUUCAGUUAUGCAUUUAAUCUUUAUCCAUCACUAUAUAAGAUAUAAGAUAAGAUUAUGAAUAAUGAUAGUUCCAUUUUAAUAAUAAUAAUAAUAAUAAUAAUAAUAAUAAUAACAACAACGAUAGUGUCUAUACGUGUUAUUCUUCUAGUGGCCUUUGUCAUCAGUGCUUUUGGGGCAAACAAGACUUAAAACAUGAUAAGUUUUGACUUUAUUAAACUUUAUCAAUUUUGUAGCCUUACAUAUAUAUAACUCAUUUUACGUUCAACCUCCUUCAAAAGGCCACGUUGCACUAUUGAAUUUUAACAUUUGUCUUAACUAAGUGCUUUAUAUAUAUGUAUAUGAGGAUAUUUCAUGUAUGCAUUACUGGACAUAAAAGCUUCGUUACAAGCAAAAGUCUACAUCAAGGUGACGUUGUUUUCGUGUAUUUAAUUUAACGAGUGGCUGCAACCUGCAACAGCUAUAUGGCCAAGCCAACCAUAUUUGAUAAAUGUAAAUAUCAUAUAUAUCUCCUCAAUAAGUGAGUAUUGUUACGUGAAGGGUAUAGUUAGCAUAAGUAUGUAAAAUUAUUUUACAAAUAGAGAAGGAAUAAUAAAAAUGAAUUAUAAUUAGGAGUAUUCUUAUUGA
Molecule: long non-coding RNA, 781 nt
Organism: Cannabis sativa
Lineage: Eukaryota; Viridiplantae; Streptophyta; Magnoliopsida; Rosales; Cannabaceae
Exons: 2
Source: RefSeq, a predicted model, not a curated record